GCCUGGGUGGCUCAGUCGGUUGGGCGACUGACUUCGGCUCAGGUUGUGAUCUCAACAGUUUGUGAGUUCGAGCCCCACAUCGGGCU
Felis catus (domestic cat) is the source of this 86-nucleotide transfer RNA. It matches the Rfam family "tRNA". From Rfam's summary of the family: Transfer RNA (tRNA) molecules are approximately 80 nucleotides in length. Their secondary structure includes four short double-helical elements and three loops (D, anti-codon, and T loops). The record is from Rfam. NCBI's taxonomy places the organism in Eukaryota, Metazoa, Chordata, Mammalia, Carnivora, Felidae.